This is a long non-coding RNA of Xenopus tropicalis (tropical clawed frog), 586 nucleotides long. RefSeq lists it as uncharacterized. NCBI's taxonomy places the organism in Eukaryota, Metazoa, Chordata, Amphibia, Anura, Pipidae. The transcript has 3 exons. The record is from RefSeq and is a predicted model, not a curated record.
ACUGGCACAGAGGCAGGAACUGAUGGCUGGAGAACUGGCACAGAGGCAGGAACUGAUGCAGACAUGACUGCUGGCACGGGAGGAGGCAGCCUUCGGGGUGCAGGGCUGAACUGCAGGUACAGUGGACAACUGGGAGAUUGACCUUGAACUUGGUAGUAUAUGCUGUUGGUAUUUCAUCCUCAGAAUCCAUAUCUUCCCAUUCAUCCUCAGAAAUAUCUAUACAGUCACUCUCAUCCUCAUAACAGAAUUCCUCUUCCUCAUUCUGAACCGCUGGCUGGAAGGUGAUUUGGGGCAAAUUUUUUACAGGUUGUAAAAUAUGGACUUGUGUUACUCUGCUUUUUAAAGAACACUUCAAGAGGAAAAUUUGAUAAACUGAUGGCAACAUCAUUUAUUUGAUACAUUGUUUUUGAUACACUGUGUGGUUUGCUAUACUGUUUUGUAUAAGAUUGUGUCCACUGGGUGGUGCACAAGGGUAUAUAAAGGAAGUUGUUUGAGUGUCAGUUAGCUUGAUAAAAGGCCACACCUGCCCUGAAACGUUGCUAGAUUGCCCUAAGAUGUAUGCAAUAAAGGCAUUUUAAAUAAGAAA